GCUGCUUGACCCACCUGCCUGCCCUUUAGAUGAACUCAAAAGGAGGAAGCUUAGAAACCUCCUCCCCUUAGAGUCUCUUAGAAACAACAAUCAACUAUUGUUUUACAAAUGUUCUAACAGCAGGACGUUCUGCUUCUGUACUUUUCGCUUGCUUUACUAGUUCUAUCCCAUAGGGGGCCCUAGAAACUGCUGGCCUCAAAGGUGUAUAAAACAUGUUUGUCUCCCCCUAGUCGGGGACUCGAGUCCGAUGCUUGGCUUGAGUCCUCGCCGGUAAUAAACUCCUGUGUGGAUUUAAUGUCGGUCUCUGGUUGGUUCUCUCUCACUGGGUGCAACAUUCUUGGAGGCCCCAGAGAGAUGGCCAGCUGCUCUGGAGCUUAUUCUCUUGGAGCCUUUGUUUCUUUUUAGGAGAGACCAGGAUCAGACAUCAGCGGUGUUUGGCCCCUCUGGACACCAGUCUGCGGAAAGAGAGGCCACCCUGACGGUAUUCCAGGGCUCUGGGUAGACCAGUCCCAGUCCGGCCCUAUCGCUGAUCAACCAACCCGCAGGAGUAUAUCGGGAAAGCCUCUAGAGAGACAGAGAAGAUGAAUAUGGCAUAAAAUUUUCUAAAGGCAAAUUGCAAACUCUGUGUCAAUCAGAAUGGCCAAGUUUCAGGGUCCCUAUUGACCUUUGGCAACCCUAAAUUGGAGGAGAAGGGGAAAUCGAAACCCACUGGAAUAGAGCCCCUCUCUGAUGGCUCUGUCAACCAGUAAAGGUGUUCUCCAGUCUGACCCUGAGGACAAUUUGUGCCGACCUCUCCCUUAUCAUCCAACUUGGGAUGACUACCAGCAGCUUUUACAGAUCCUCUUCACCACUGAGGAGCGGGACUGCAUUUAUCAACAGCCAGUCAAAGAGGCCCUGGGGCCAAACCCCAGCAUCACUCCCAGAACUCUGGGGUAUUCAGCCAGGGCUGAAACAGUGGUUCUGUCGCAAUGCCCCAAAUGGGACCCCAAUGACGAUGAUGGUAGAAGGAGGCUGGGGACCUACCACCAGCACUUAUUAGGGGGACUCCAGACAGUGG
This 1057-nucleotide long non-coding RNA is filed under the name Heterocephalus glaber (naked mole-rat). Its description in RNAcentral is "lncRNA (ENSHGLG00100032836.1)". Lineage: Eukaryota; Metazoa; Chordata; Mammalia; Rodentia; Bathyergidae. The record is from RNAcentral.